CAGGCUAGAAGCGGGGCUCUACUGGGUCUUACUACCAGCAGUUGGGGACACCCAUGAAGGAAUGGAGUAACAGGUGCAGUGGCUGCAUCUCAAAUGGAUGUCUUGGAGCAUUUAAGGUAUUAAAGAAGCACUAGAUAUGUCAGAGGGAGAAAAAACAAUAACUAGGCAACUUCUGUUGGAGGCCCAUAUGCCAUCUUCUGCAAACAUGCUGAUUCCCCUUGCCUGACUUAAAGGGGAAACACUCUCAGCAACAGGAAACAUAAGAAGAAAGAAAAGCAAACUGGGGAAAAAAUUAAGAUGCAGGAGAAUGGUUUGUAUUUACCGUUAUGUUCUCUUGACUUUUGUUCCUCUAGGACAGCUAAGGCAGUUGAGUUUCAUUGUUCCCUGAGUAGCUCAUGAAUAUUUCAGUUCCAAAUGGCUGAAUGUUGUUUUUAUUAGCCUAUUUAAAUAGCAGCACCAGUAUGUUUUCCUGCAUGUGGCUGAA
Molecule: non-coding RNA, 484 nt
Organism: Pogona vitticeps (central bearded dragon)
Lineage: Eukaryota; Metazoa; Chordata; Lepidosauria; Squamata; Agamidae
Source: RefSeq, a predicted model, not a curated record